AUGCAGCAGAUGGCCACCACCGUCACGCUGCUGCUCGGGGCAGCCUCGUCCCCCGGUGAUGGCGCCGCGCGGGACGGCGUCCAGUGCUCCCGCAUGUUGCCUAGGAGGAGGCAGCAGAGGCCGCGGUGGGUGCUCUGCUCGCUCAAGUACGGCUGCCUCGGCGUCGGCGAGCCGGGGGAGGCGGGAACCCGGAGCGCGGCGUCGCCGGUCUACUCCAGCCUCACCGUCAGCCCCGGCGGCGAGGCGGCCGUCGCCGUCGUCUCCUCGGAGCAGAAGGUGUACGACGUGGUGCUGAAGCAGGCGGCAUUGCUCAAGCGCCAGCUCCGGCCACAGCAGGCGGCGCCGCCCGCCGUAGCCAGGGAGCUGGACGCGCCGCGCGGUGGGCUCGGGAAGGCCUACGCCCGCUGCGGCGAGAUCUGCGAGGAGUACGCCAAGACCUUCUACCUCGGGACCUUGCUGAUGACAGAGGAGCGGCGACGCGCCAUAUGGGCCAUCUACGUGUGGUGCAGGAGGACAGACGAGCUGGUGGACGGUCCCAACGCGUCGCACAUCACGCCGCAGGCGCUGGACCGGUGGGAGAGGAGGCUGGAGGACCUCUUCGCCGGGCGCCCCUACGACAUGCUCGACGCCGCGCUCUCCGACACCAUCACCAAGUUCCCCAUAGAUAUUCAGCCCUUCAAGGACAUGAUCGACGGGAUGCGGACGGACCUCAAGAAGGCAAGAUACAAGAACUUCGAUGAGCUCUACAUGUACUGCUACUACGUCGCAGGCACGGUGGGGCUGAUGAGCGUCCCGGUGAUGGGCAUUGCGCCCGAGUCCAAGGCGACGGCUGAGAGCGUCUACGGCGCCGCUCUGGCUCUCGGGUUGGCGAACCAGCUCACCAACAUACUCAGGGAUGUCGGAGAAGAUGCAAGAAGAGGAAGGAUAUAUUUGCCGCAAGACGAGCUCGCGGAGGCAGGGCUCUCCGAUGAAGACAUCGUCAAAGGAGUCGUCACUGACAAGUGGAGGAAAUUCAUGAAGAGGCAGAUCAAGAGGGCAAGGAUGUUCUUCGAGGAGGCAGAGCGAGGGGUGACCGAGCUCAGGAAGGAGAGCCGGUGGCCGGUUUGGGCCUCUCUGUUGUUGUACCGGCAGAUCCUCGAUGAGAUCGAAGCGAACGACUACAACAACUUCACCAAGAGGGCCUAUGUUGGAAAGGCGAAGAAAGUGUUGGCGCUCCCUGUCGCAUACGGGAAAUCGCUGCUCUUACCGUCUUCACUGAGAAAUAACCAGACCUAG
This 1275-nucleotide ribosomal RNA is filed under the name Triticum aestivum (bread wheat). Its description in RNAcentral is "partial small subunit ribosomal RNA". The record is from RNAcentral. Lineage: Eukaryota; Viridiplantae; Streptophyta; Magnoliopsida; Poales; Poaceae.